GAGAGAGAGAAUAAUAUGGUGAGAAUUAAGCUUUGAGUUAAUGCAAAAAUGUUUGAUGGACAUUCUAUAGAAAUUAAAUUUAAUAAAUAAAUAGCAGUGAAAAAAAAAGGAAGAGCAGAUUUCCACCUACUAAACAACAAUUGGAAAAUGGAGACAAUAAGAGAGAGAUCAUACUUUUCAUUGAAUCAAGGUAUAAGGUUCAACACUUCUGACAAAAUCAGACCAUCUUCUUCAUGGUCCAAUAUGGAAGGCUCCAUCCUCAUUUGCAAAGUGGUUGGUCAAAAUUCAGAUGUGAUGAACAUCAGAUUUCAAAGAGUUAGUUCCAAAAGAACACAAAACAGCCAACAACUUUAUACUGUUUUCAUGUUGAAGUAUUAAUAUUUUAGAUUACUGGAUUAAAUGAAAUGUAUUAAUUUGUAUCAUUUUAUUUUCCUUUGGAAAAAUAUUCCCUACAGGAAAUGAUGAAAUUACCUAUGUGGCUUUUGUACAGUGAUGAUCCAGAUCUUCAUUCUAUACUCUGGAAAACUAUUCACAGUUUUCUAAUUGUCUCUAUAAUACCUACUGGUUGGCGAUUGCAAUCUUAAGGACACAAUUAUAAAUAGGUACGACUAAAUAGGGAAACCCACUUUUAGUUGUCAUCAGUUAUUUGUGUGUGAACAUGUGUGUGUGGUGUCUGCAAGAAGGACUAAGCAGAAAAUAUUUCAACUGUCUGUGAUAGCUCAAAGAGUUACUCAACUCCUAGAACAGUGGAGAAGAAUCACGUGAGCAAAGCCUCACCUGGGAACAUUCUACAAUGCAGUGUCCAUCUUCAGACCCUACUUAAUCAGAAACCUGGAGGAGGCAAAAGAAAACAGAAAUCUGUGCUCUGAAAUUCAAGGUCUGCCCAGGGUUUCUGUUUUUGUGUUGAGCUGGAAACGGAUGCUGAGCAGAGCUUUCCCCGCUCUCAUCUGCUGGCAGGAAACACAUCAUGUCUCAGCACACCAGGGGAUACCCGGCGACCUGCUGAGGAGCGUGAGCUGGAGCAGUUCCUAUGACAGCAUGUGCCACUUUGCCUUAAUAAAAAUUACCAAACUAAAAACAGAUGAGAGCUGCAGAUGCUGAGAAACUGAGACCUAUAAACAAUCCCCUUUACUUGCUAAUUUUUUUUUUCUUAUUUGGUCAGGCUUUUUUUUUUUUUUGACUGGUUGAGCUGUGUGCACGUGUUUGUGUGUGUGUGUGUCUGUGCGUCCAUGUGUUAAUGAAGACUGUGACGAUACUGAUGUUUUGCACAAGGCUGCCUGCUAAAGAAAAAACUCCCUGGUGCAGUGACCAGACUGGAUUAAAUGGCAGGGUGUUCUGUUCUAGGAGAAUCCACUUCAUAUUAGUGGUCUCCUUUGAUUAUUUCUGUCUUUCUCACCAGAGAGAAUCGUGGGAACCCUGACUAUUUUCCUGAAUCUUCCUGUGUUGUGCUCAUUCCUCCAGCGUUACACUCUCAUUUCCUGUCAUCGAUCAGUCAGUAGUAUUUAUUCAAACCCUCUUGUAGGCUGAAAACCACCAUUAGAUUUUAUGAAAUACAAGACAUAGGCAGAAUGAUCCCUGCCCUUGAGAAGCAUACAGACUCACAGAGGAGAAACCAUACACAAGCAUGAAGCAACACGGCAUUUAUGAAAACAAUAACAUACCACCAUGUAGAAUGUCAUUAUAAGCUGAAUGGAUGGCAAGAAAACACAAGACAAAACAGAGCUGAGCAACAUCCAUGAAAAUGGCCUUCCCAAAAAGAUGCUGUUAACAACCCAGCUGUCUUUCAGUGGAUGAAUGUUCAAACUAACUGUGCUACAUCUCUACCAUGGAAUAUUACUGAGCAAUAAAAAGGGAAAAAACCUGAUAAUACACAAAGCAACAUGGAUCAAGCUGCAGAGAAUUAUGGGGGCCGGCACUGUGGCGCAGUUGGUUAACACCCUGGCCUGAAGCGACAGCAUCCCAUAUUGGUGCCGGUUCUAGUCCCAGCUGCUCCACUUCCGAUCCAGCUCUCUCCUAUGGCCUGGGAAAGCAGUAGAAGAUGGCCCAAAUCCUUGGGCUCCUGCACCCACGUGGGAGACCCAUAAGAAGCUCCUGGCUCCUGGCACAGCUCCGGCAGUUGCAACCAUCUGGGGAGUGAACCAUCAGACGGAAGACCUCUCUCUCUUUCUCUCUCUGCCUCUCCUCUCUCUGUGUAACUCUUUCAAAUAAAUAAAUAAAUCUUUAAAAAAUAAAAAAUUAAUCUUUAAAAAGGGGGAAGAGCAUCUCUGUGGCAUACCAGAUUAAGUGGCUGCUGCAUCACCAUCAUACCCUGUGAGUGCUGGUUGGAGUCUUGUCUGCUCCACUUCCAAUCCAGCUCCCUGCUAAUAGCCUAGGAAAGCAUCAGAGGAUGGCCCAAGUUUUUGGGCCCCUCCACCCAUGAGGAAGACCUAGAAGAAGUUCCUGGCUCCUGGCUUCAGCCUGGCACAGCCCUGGCCGUUGGACCAUCUGGGGAGUGAACCAGCAGAUGGAAGAUUCUCUCCUAUUCUGUCUGUCUCUCUCUCUCUAACUUUCAAAUAAAUAAAUAAAUAAAUCUAUCUUUAAAAAAUUAAUGGAGGGGGGAAAACUGAAGACUCUUGGAGUACUAGUAAUGUUGUGGUCUCAAUUUGGGUAUUGCUAUAAGUAUGAUCAGAGAGAAAAAACCUGAUUUAUCUGUACACAUUUAUGCAUUUCUUGGUAUGUAUACCAUAUUUCAAUAAAAUAUUAGAAAAAGAAAACUUUUAGAUUUGUAUAAAUAUAUAA
Oryctolagus cuniculus (rabbit) is the source of this 2778-nucleotide non-coding RNA. NCBI's taxonomy places the organism in Eukaryota, Metazoa, Chordata, Mammalia, Lagomorpha, Leporidae. The record is from RefSeq and is a predicted model, not a curated record.